UACGGAGGGUGCGAGCGUUGUCCGGAAUUAUUGGGUUUAAAGGGUGCGUAGGCGGGCUAUUAAGUCAGUAGUGAAAUUUAGAGGCUUAACCUCUAACGUGCUAUAGAAACUGAUAGUCUUGAGUUUGGUAGAGGUAUGCGGAAUUUAUGAUGUAGCGGUGAAAUGCAUAGAUAUCAUAAAGAACACCAAUUGCGAAGGCAGUAUACUAGACCAAUACUGACGCUGAUGCACGAAAGCGUGGGUAGCGAACAGG
RNAcentral lists this ribosomal RNA (253 nucleotides) under uncultured bacterium. Its description in RNAcentral is "partial 16S ribosomal RNA". It matches the Rfam family "Bacterial small subunit ribosomal RNA", at positions 524 to 776 of the family's 1533-position model. The record is from RNAcentral.